UGGCAUGUGGCUCAGUGGUAGAGCCUUUGCCUAGCGAGCGAGAAGUCCUGGGUUCCAACCCCAGUGCCAA
RNAcentral lists this transfer RNA (70 nucleotides) under Cricetulus griseus (Chinese hamster). It matches the Rfam family "tRNA". From Rfam's summary of the family: Transfer RNA (tRNA) molecules are approximately 80 nucleotides in length. Their secondary structure includes four short double-helical elements and three loops (D, anti-codon, and T loops). Further hydrogen bonds mediate the characteristic L-shaped molecular structure. tRNAs have two regions of fundamental functional importance: the anti-codon, which is responsible for specific mRNA codon recognition, and the 3' end, to which the tRNAs corresponding amino acid is attached (by aminoacyl-tRNA synthetases). tRNAs cope with the degeneracy of the genetic code in two manners: having more than one tRNA (with a specific anti-codon) for a particular amino acid; and 'wobble' base-pairing, i.e. permitting non-standard base-pairing at the 3rd anti-codon position. The record is from Rfam by way of RNAcentral. Lineage: Eukaryota; Metazoa; Chordata; Mammalia; Rodentia; Cricetidae.